Neopsephotus bourkii (Bourke's parrot) is the source of this 1446-nucleotide long non-coding RNA. RefSeq lists it as uncharacterized. The record is from RefSeq and is a predicted model, not a curated record. Lineage: Eukaryota; Metazoa; Chordata; Aves; Psittaciformes; Psittacidae. The transcript is spliced from 6 exons.
GCCGCGUCCUACUUGCGGUGUGGCGCUGGCACCGCGGGGCCAGCGGCGGCUCGGCCGGGCGGCCUCAGUGUGCCCCCCGCGCCCCAGCAACGGGCCGGGGCUCAGCCUCACGGCCCGCCGGGGACGGCGGCGUGUGCCGCGGUGGUGGUGGGAGCCCUCCUCCCCCUUCCUUCUCCCGUCCUCCUCCUCCUGGCCCAGGAGUUUUUAAACUUUAAAGCGCAGGGUACCUCGGCCUGCCUGCCUUUGUCCCUCGGACACCGCGCUCGGCCACCGGCAACCCGCGGGGCCGCGUCCCGCCGCCUCGCCUCCGCCCUACCCCCAGAGAGCAUCUGGAGAGAGGGAAAAGAGGGAAGAGAGAGAGAAAGGGCGCGUUCAUGAGGACUACAAAGUUACAAAUAUGGCUCCCCAGUCUCUCCUGCCUGAUCACUGCAAAGAAACGAAGACGCACUUUAAACUAAACCGUUUCCAACUCGCUCGCAGCCCCCGCCGGCCUCUCCCUGCCCAGCACCCAGCACAAAUAUUUGCCAACUAAACACGAGAGAGAGGAGCCACCAACUUAUUUUAUUUAAACGCCCGGCAGACCUUCCCCCCCCCCCGCCCCCCCUCCUCGGGCAUCGCGCUCGGUUUAAGGGGAGGGGGGGACAGGAGCAGCCGCUGCUCCCCAACAUCCCUCCUUUAGACCUUAACGCGCUUGGGGCACCCCGAAUCGGGGUGAGCCCCCCAUCCCCUCCGCGCACAGGUUGGUUUUUAGUCCUUAAGAUUGUUCAUUGAGACGAUGAAACGAGAAGACUUUGUGCUAUUGAAAGCGCUGCAUGAACACCUCUGAAAUCUCCCUUGUUAGAGAGCUGAUGAUGUGAGGAAAGUCCUUUGUCAUCAAAUAGGUUCUGAUCAUUCCAUCUAUGGAAGGGAAUGUUUGUUUUGGAGAAAUCCAUGCAAGUUUCAGAAGACUCAGUGCAAACAAAGUGAAGCUGUGGCUGCCCCAUCCCUGGCAGUGCUCAAGCCCAGGUUGGAUGGGGCUUGGAGCAACCUGCUCUAGUGGAAGGGGUCCCUGCCCACAGCACGGGAUUAGAACUGAAUCAGCAUGAGGGUCCUUUCCAACCCAAACCAGUGUGGGGUUCUAUGUGCCUCUCUCCAUGGCUCCAAGGAAAAGGUGAUGGUGCAUCAUCCAUCCUCGUCUACUGAGGUUUCAGCUGCAGACACAGGCAGGGCUAUAGUCCAUGCAUCUCGAGCAACUCCCUCUAGGACAGAAGCAGCUGAAGAGGAGGAAGCCCUGAAGAGCCUCAUGGACAUUGCAGUGAGUAAAUCCAUACCUGUGUGAGGGUGCUGAGGCGCUGGCACAGGGUGCCCAGAGAAGCUGUGGCUGCCCCAUCCCUGGCAGUGCUCAAGGCCAGGUUGGACACAGGGGCUUGGAGCAAGCUGCUCCAGUGGAAGGGGUCCCUGCCUGUG